This is a long non-coding RNA of Saccostrea cuccullata (small rock oyster), 593 nucleotides long. RefSeq lists it as uncharacterized. The record is from RefSeq and is a predicted model, not a curated record. Lineage: Eukaryota; Metazoa; Mollusca; Bivalvia; Ostreida; Ostreidae. The transcript has 3 exons.
UGAACAGGUAAAAGGUUUGAAAUUUCUUCCUACAUAUGAACGACUCAAGAAUUGAAACACACAAAAUAAUCUUUUCACUUUUCAUGAACGUUAGUCUCUCUUUCUUAAAGCUACAGGUGCAGUCAAGAGAAACACGAAACAUCGAUCAAAUGGACUUCUAUGGAGGCAUCAUUCAACGAGAGACUCCAAAGAGGUCCAUGAAGCGUGUUCUGGUGGUACUUUUGAUCAUAAUUCUUCUCCUCGGACUUGUCGCAACGAGUGUAUUACUUUUUCUUGAGAAAACAAAAAUCAAUGAGAAGCCACUACCAACACCUUUGGCGAUAACUUGUCAGCAACCCCUGCAAAAACCAAAUAUCCAAAUCAACAGAUAAUGGAAAUGCAGAUUUAGGGAGCAGAGGGCGAAGUUUUCUGGUCAGCUUUAUCCAAAAUCACAACGAUGGAAAUACAACAAACCGAACAAUUAUUGUAUCAUCAAAAACUGAUUUCAACGUAACAAUUUCACUGCCAGAGAGUCAAAGUUCAAAUCUGAUAUCCAUUUCAAACCAUAUAAGUAGAACAGCAACAUUCAAGAAGUUAAAUGUUCACUACUCUCU